AACGUAGGAGGCGAGCGUUAUCCGGAUUCACUGGGCGUAAAGCGCGUGCAGGCGGUUCGGUAAGUUUGGCGUGAAAUCUCCUGGCUUAACUAGGAGAGGUCGUCCAAUACUACCGGGCUAGAGAGUGGUAGAGGAAGAUGGAAGUCCCGGUGUAGUGGUGAAAUGCGUAGAUAUCGGGAGGAACACCAGUGGCGAAAGCGAUCUUCUGGACCAUUUCUGACGCUCAGACGCGAAAGCUAGGGUAGUAAACGGG
This 253-nucleotide ribosomal RNA is filed under the name uncultured bacterium. RNAcentral's name for it is "partial 16S ribosomal RNA". It matches the Rfam family "Bacterial small subunit ribosomal RNA", at positions 524 to 776 of the family's 1533-position model. The record is from RNAcentral.